This 140-nucleotide ribosomal RNA is filed under the name uncultured eukaryote. RNAcentral's name for it is "partial 18S ribosomal RNA". The record is from RNAcentral.
UCAUGAAAUGAUUUGUCUGGUAAAUUUCAUUAAUUUACCAGUGUGCUUCCUGCUGAAUAUGGUUGUUAGAAAAUGUCACUGAUUAGACCUUUUCACAGAGACAUGUAUUCUAGUAGAUGCAGGAAGAUACAAAAAUAAGA